Lytechinus variegatus (green sea urchin) is the source of this 329-nucleotide long non-coding RNA. RefSeq lists it as uncharacterized. The record is from RefSeq and is a predicted model, not a curated record. The transcript is spliced from 3 exons. Lineage: Eukaryota; Metazoa; Echinodermata; Echinoidea; Temnopleuroida; Toxopneustidae.
GCCGCAGCUAGCUCGCCGACUCGCAUCGUCUGUUUGCUGAAACUUCGUUUUUACGAUCUGGCCUGAGGCGUCAGCUUGUUCAAACUUGCAUCAGCUGGAAACUGUUGCUUUCAGGUAGACCAAUGGGUGUCUCAUCAAACCAUACCUUCGACAGUUAAUUUGCUGUUCAUUGUUUGGUGAUUUCCAGAGGUGUUGCGUGCCUGAUUUUAAGAGUGAACAGAUUCUUACCUCUUCAAACGCAUCUGUGGUGGACUGUUACUUUCUAUUCCAAUUGUUCACUCUACUGGGGACGAGAUGCUCAGUGUCUGACUGUCUGGUGAAGGGCUACU